Molecule: long non-coding RNA, 1291 nt
Filed under: Mytilus galloprovincialis (Mediterranean mussel)
Lineage: Eukaryota; Metazoa; Mollusca; Bivalvia; Mytilida; Mytilidae
Source: RNAcentral
GCCUUGAGAAUUGAAAGGUCAGUUUAUCCCAUUCAUACAAAAGAAGUUGGUAAAAUUGGCUUCAUGCCAUUUACCUUGUCCAAAAUCAAGGUCACUUUAUUGUUAUUGUGAUAUUGUUAAAGUACAAAAGAACCCUAUAUUCUGACCAAUGCUUAAACUUUGUGCAUCUUGAUUCAAUUGUUCAAAAUAUGUUAAUGUUGAAAUUUAGGGGUUACUUUCGGCCUUUUUUUUACGUGUUAGUUUUCUUUUCAGAUAUAAAAAAACUAAUAGACUCUGCUUGCAGGUUCUCUUGUUUUUUGUUUACACCAAAUUCUAAAGGAUUAUAAUUUAGUUGCAAAAUAUUCUAAACGAGAGCUGAUUUUUUUUUAUCUUUUAAUGUGAAUUGAAGGUUAAAUAAUUAUAAUGUGAAUUAGAAUGAAGAAAACAUCUUGGUCCCAAAAAAAAUCAUCAAUCAGGAUAUGAAAUUCCAAAUAUUAAUUUAUUAUACUAAAAUCAGUUCAUAUAGAAUAAACUUUUAAGAUUUUAUUGAUUCCUUUUAAAUUGAAAUCUCAAGCCACUGUUUUGCAGGUUUAGAUCAUGCCCCAACAGAAAACCAAUAAAUAUGACAGUACAAUGUACUCUAAGCACAAACACAUAAGGUCAGUGUGAAAUAGACAUCUAGGGCAGGAGCAAACUGUCAGUUAUACCAAACCAGUUUGACUAGAUCUCUAGUUUAAAACCAGUUUGACUAGAUGUGUAAAUUAUUCUUGGAAUAACAAUGGUGUGGCCUAUAUUUUGACAAGGUAAAUAACAUGAGGACCUGGAUGGGUUUUUUAAUAUCUGUAUUCUUUAAAGUUUUAGGGCAUUUUCUUUUAAUAGCCUUGAAAUAACUCUCAUUCUGUAAAAUUCUCAUGAAAAUGAUUUUACUAUUUAGUCUUUCUGUUACAAGAUUAUUUAUCAAUUAUGUUCAUUGAUCAUGAUUAUAUUAUCAGUAUGCCUUACAGUUACCUAAGUUACCUUUUUAUUAUGCACAGUUAUUCUUUAUACUUUUGCACUGCAGUAAAUUAUUCUCUAUUCUUUAUUUUGAUGUUCAUUUUCUCUAUUCUCUAUUAUUUUUUGUUGCUAUUACAUGUAUUCUCUAUUCUGUAAACCCCAUUCUGACCCUCAUAGGUAAACUUCUUUUGUAUGCAUGGGAUAAACUGACCUUUCAAUUCUCAAGGCUAAAUAAGUAUUUUAUAGGCUAGAUACAAACUUACCUGUCAAGGUAGAAUUGUAAUCUGAGUGGUAUUGGUGUUUCUCAAGUCACCAUAAA